GCCGCCAUAGCUCAGUUGGUAGAGCACGUGGUUGUUACCCACGUUGUCCCAGGUUCGAGCCCUGGUGGCGGCG
This 73-nucleotide transfer RNA is filed under the name Halobacterium salinarum. RNAcentral describes it as "tRNA-Asn(gtt)". It matches the Rfam family "tRNA". From Rfam's summary of the family: Transfer RNA (tRNA) molecules are approximately 80 nucleotides in length. Their secondary structure includes four short double-helical elements and three loops (D, anti-codon, and T loops). RNAcentral also lists the same sequence under 9 other names. Lineage: Archaea; Methanobacteriati; Methanobacteriota; Halobacteria; Halobacteriales; Halobacteriaceae. The record is from RNAcentral.